CCGCGGUUAUACGGGAGUGUCACGUUUUAUCCGGAUUUAGUGGGCGAAAGGCGUCCGCAGGCGGCUUUGAAAGUCUGCUGUCAUAGCGUGGAGCUUACCUCCAUUUCGGCAGUGGAAACUACGAGGCUUGAGUGUGGUAGGGGCAGAGGGAAUUCCCGGUGUAGCGGUGAAAUGCGUAUAUUUCGGGAAAAACACCAGUGGCGAAGGCGCUCUGCUGGGCCAUAACUGACGCUCAUGGACGAAAGCCAGGGGAGCGAAAGGGAUUAGAUACCCCUGUAGUCCUGGCCGUAAACGAUGAACACUAGGUGUCGGGGGAAUCGACCCCCUCGGUGUCGUAGCCAACGCGUUAAGUGUUCCGCCUGGGGAGUACGCACGCAAGUGUGAAACUC
This 389-nucleotide ribosomal RNA is filed under the name uncultured bacterium. RNAcentral's name for it is "bacterial SSU rRNA". It matches the Rfam family "Bacterial small subunit ribosomal RNA", at positions 515 to 902 of the family's 1533-position model. The record is from RNAcentral.